RNAcentral lists this ribosomal RNA (403 nucleotides) under uncultured Mucor. RNAcentral describes it as "partial small subunit ribosomal RNA". It matches the Rfam family "Eukaryotic small subunit ribosomal RNA", at positions 30 to 432 of the family's 1831-position model. Lineage: Eukaryota; Fungi; Mucoromycota; Mucoromycetes; Mucorales; Mucoraceae. The record is from RNAcentral.
GCUUGUCUCAAAGAUUAAGCCAUGCAUGUCUAAGUAUAAAUAGUAUACAGUGAAACUGCGAAUGGCUCAUUAAAACAGUUAUAGUUUAUUUGAUAAUUGAAAAUUACAUGGAUAACCGUGGUAAUUCUAGAGCUAAUACAUGCAAAAAAACCCAGACUUACGAAUGGGUGCACUUAUUAGAUAAAGCCAACGCUGGGUAAAACCAGUUUCCCUUGGUGAUUCAUAAUAAUUAAGCGGAUCGCAUGGCCUUGUGCUAGCGACAGUCCACUCGAUUUUCUGCCCUAUCAUGGUUGAGAUUGUAAGAUAGAGGCUUACAAUGCCUACAACGGGUAACGGGGAAUUAGGGUUCGAUUCCGGAGAGGGAGCCUGAGAAACGGCUACCACAUCCAAGGAAGGCAGCAGG